This 408-nucleotide ribosomal RNA is filed under the name uncultured Methylomirabilota bacterium. RNAcentral's name for it is "bacterial SSU rRNA". It matches the Rfam family "Bacterial small subunit ribosomal RNA", at positions 1027 to 1434 of the family's 1533-position model. Lineage: Bacteria; Methylomirabilota (SeqCode). The record is from RNAcentral.
CGUGGAGACAGGUGGUGCAUGGCUGUCGUCAGCUCGUGUCGUGAGAUGUUGGGUUAAGUCCCGCAACGAGCGCAACCCUCACCUCUUGUUGCCAUCAGGUCAUGCUGGGCACUCUAGAGGAACUGCCCCGGUCAACGGGGAGGAAGGCGGGGAUGACGUCAAGUCAUCAUGCCCCUUACGUCCUGGGCUACACACGUGCUACAAUGGCCGGUACAAAGGGAUGCCACACCGCGAGGUAGAGCUAAACCCAAAAAGCCGGUCUAAGUUCAGAUUGGAGUCUGCAACUCGACUCCAUGAAGGAGGAAUCGCUAGUAAUCGCGCAUCAGCACGACGCGGUGAAUACGUUCCCGGGCCUUGUACACACCGCCCGUCACACCACGAAAGCCUGCUGUACUCGAAGUCGCUGAG